UUGAAAAGACUUGCUAUUGCACAAUACUUAAUAUAAUAAUUUUAGAUCCUGAUUUGGACCAACUUGAAAACUGGGCCCAUAAUAAAAAAUCUAAGUACAUUUUUGGAUUCAGCAUAUCAAAGAACCCCAAGAUUUCAAUUUUUGUUGAAAUCAGACUAAGUUUAAUUUUGGACCCUUUGGACUUUAGUGUAGACCAAUUUGAAAACAGGACCAAAAAUGAAGAAUCUACAUACAUAGUUAGAUUUGGUAUAUCAAAGAACCCCAUUUAUUCAAUUUUUGAUGAAAUCAAACAAAGUUUAAUUUUGGAGCCCGAUUUGGACCAACUUGAAAACUGGGCCAAUAAUCAAGAAUCUAAGUACAUUUUAAGAUUCAGCAUAUCAAAGAACCUAACUGAUUCAUUUUUUGUCAAAAUCAAACUAAGUUUAAUUUUGGACCCUUUGGACCUUAAUGUAGACCAAUUUGAAAACGAGACCAAAAGUUAAGAAUCUACAUACACAGUCAUGACAGUUAGAUUCGGCAUAUCAAAGAACCCC
This 533-nucleotide long non-coding RNA is filed under the name Mytilus galloprovincialis (Mediterranean mussel). The record is from RNAcentral. Lineage: Eukaryota; Metazoa; Mollusca; Bivalvia; Mytilida; Mytilidae.